AUACGAGGGGUGCAAGCGUUGUUCGGAAUUACUGGGCGUAAAGGGAGCGUAGGCGGAGAUUCAAGCGGAUUGUACAAUCCCGGGGCCCAACCCCGGCUCUGCAGUCCGAACUGGAUCUCUUGGAUAGUUCAGGGGCAGGCGGAAUUCCUGGUGUAGCGGUGGAAUGCGUAGAGAUCAGGAAGAACACCGAUGGCGAAGGCAGCCUGCUGGUGAAGUAUCGACGCUGAGGCUCGAAAGUGCGGGUAGCAAACAGGAUUAGAUACCCUGGUAGUCCGCACCGUAAACGAUGCAUACUGGGUGUCCGGGGGUUCCCCCGGGUACCGUAGCCAACGCGUUAAGUAUGCCGCCUGGGGAGUACGUACGCAAGUAUGAAACUCAAAUGAAUUGACGGGG
This 393-nucleotide ribosomal RNA is filed under the name uncultured bacterium. RNAcentral describes it as "partial 16S ribosomal RNA". It matches the Rfam family "Bacterial small subunit ribosomal RNA", at positions 523 to 918 of the family's 1533-position model. The record is from RNAcentral.